Molecule: unclassified non-coding RNA, 279 nt
Filed under: uncultured fungus
Lineage: Eukaryota; Fungi
Description: partial contains small subunit ribosomal RNA, internal transcribed spacer 1, and 5.8S ribosomal RNA
Rfam family: Eukaryotic small subunit ribosomal RNA (bases 1-73)
Source: RNAcentral
UCAAACUUGGUCAUUUAGAGGAAGUAAAAGUCGUAACAAGGUCUCCGUAGGUGAACCUGCGGAGGGAUCAUUACUGAGUGAGGGCCUCCGGGUCCGACCUCCAACCCUUUUGUGAACCACCUCUGUUGCCUCGGGGGCGACCCCGCCGUUCGCGCGGCGGCGGCGCCCCCGGCGGCCCCAACCAAAACCUCGCGUAACUUUAGUGUCGGAGUAUUGAAUAAAUCAAUCAAAACUUUCAACAACGGAUCUCUUGGUUCUGGCAUCGAUGAAGAACGCAGC